GGACUACCAGGGUAUCUAAUCCUGUUCGCUCCCCACGCUUUCGUCCAUCAGCGUCAAUCCACUGGUAGCAACCUGCCUUCGCAAUUGGUAUUCCAUGUAAUAUCUAAGCAUUUCACCGCUACACUACAUAUUCUAGUUGCUUCCCAGUAAUUCAAGUCUUGCAGUAUCAAUGGCCGUUCCGCCGUUGAGCGACGGGCUUUCACCACUGACUUACAAGACCGCCUACGGACCCUUUAAACCCAAUGAUUCCGGAUAACGCUUGGAUCCUCCGUAUUACCGCGGCUGCUGGCAC
RNAcentral lists this ribosomal RNA (292 nucleotides) under uncultured Bacteroidota bacterium. RNAcentral's name for it is "uncultured Bacteroidetes bacterium partial 16S ribosomal RNA". The record is from RNAcentral. Lineage: Bacteria; Pseudomonadati; Bacteroidota.